This is a long non-coding RNA of Vigna unguiculata (cowpea), 247 nucleotides long. The record is from RefSeq and is a predicted model, not a curated record. Lineage: Eukaryota; Viridiplantae; Streptophyta; Magnoliopsida; Fabales; Fabaceae.
CUCUUUUCUCUCUUAGAGCUGGAGUAGCCUUUCUCUACUAGGGUUUGAUCUUCGUCUCUGUCAAUUUCGUACAAGCUCAUCCUACUUCACCUCCUUAAGUUUUUCCUUGAGCUGUCGUGCCCCACUACUUAGAGUCGAGGCCCUUUUCUAGCUAUUUCCAGGGAGAACAAUGGUGAGAUCUGAUACUCUCGUCCAAGCGAGCUUGUCUCGCCUAGGCGAGACUUGCAGAAACAGGCUAGGUUCGCAC